This is an RNA transcript of Salvia miltiorrhiza (redroot sage), 1375 nucleotides long. RefSeq lists it as uncharacterized. The transcript is spliced from 4 exons. Lineage: Eukaryota; Viridiplantae; Streptophyta; Magnoliopsida; Lamiales; Lamiaceae. The record is from RefSeq and is a predicted model, not a curated record.
GAAAGACUAUUAUCCUUUUAUUGUCAAAUUAAUUAUUUACUUUUUUAAAUGACAUGAAAUUUAAAUGGGAUCUGUAUUUAUUUUAUUUUUAAAAAAUGGGCCCUAUAUUCUUCGCAAAGGAAUAAUUAUUGGCCCAUUGGGCCAGGAUUUGGGAGCGUAUAGGAAAUUAGUUUUCAGAAACUGCUCCCGCUCUUCCUUCAUUUAAACAUAAUAACAGUCUUCAAUUUUCCAACAUUACUGAAAGAAAAAGGAUCUAAAUCAGAAAGGUUCAUUCAAUUCUCAAGACAUCUGAACCUCAAUUUAAUUCUAAUUUUUCGUUGCAAUGGAAAUUCAUCCCACUCCGUUUCCAGUUAGAUCCCAAACUGUGAAACCAAGAUCUACAAGGAAAAUCUCCGAACCCCCGAGAAUCAAUGAGAAGGGCGGAUCGCUCAUUCACAGGGAGAAGCGAGUGUUUGGAACUGCCCGAAACCCAAACAUUCCUUUGAAGACGAAGACGGUGCUCGAGAAGCCGGCCAAGGCCAAACCCGCAUCAGGGCUGCUAAAGAAGCCUUCAAAAGUAACAAAGCCAUCCCAAGCAACUCGAUCACCAAUCCUUGGGCGGCCAAUUUUUGGGGCCGGGAAGCUGCCUGACAAGACCCCGGCUAGGCCGAAGAAGAAAACCGUAUGUUUUCAAGAAAAGGGAGUCGGGAAGAAACGGAAAGAAUUCGGAUGAUGGGAAUGCCGCUGAGCCUCACACUCCUCUGUAUGCGGUUAUAGCCAAGCCACGAGUUGUGACGCCUUAUCACAGCGCGGAGAAAUGCAGCAAAUGCAGGUUCGACAAGCUUGAGUCUGCGUCUUACUGGCUGUCUCAGAUAAAAUUGGCGGAGUCUGUUGGGAAACAUUCGGUCUCUGCUGCUUUCUUUGCACUGGCUUUCGACUGCAAUGCAGAGCCCAUUCGUAACUUGAGAGUUGAACUAAAGAAGUAUUUGGGACGACACGAGCACGUGAGUGAUGAACAAGAGUGGAGGAAGAUGUCGGUUAGCUAUGGACUCGUACAAGAAGAAAGCCGUGAAAAUGGGGAGGUUAUAGCAGGCGGUCGUGGAAGAAGCGAAUGCAAAAGUGUCUGCAACCACAAAGAUGAUGAUUUGCCAAACCAAAUUGUUGAAGAAGAUAAAAACUUAUCCUUUUUCGAAAUCUGAGAGAUUUUAGGGCUGUGAAACUUGCAUUGUGAAUUGUGGUAUAGGAGUAGUUCAUGUAUUGUUUUGAAAUUGGUUUUCUGGUUUUGAAUUUGUGAGAGAACAAGUAGAUAGUUUUCGGUUUGUAGGCUAAGCUCGUUGUUAAGUUGAAAUGAUUAUUGUUAUAAAUUAUAUAGUAAAGUAGAUCUUUUGAUUGUUGA